RNAcentral lists this ribosomal RNA (484 nucleotides) under uncultured bacterium. RNAcentral's name for it is "partial 16S ribosomal RNA". It matches the Rfam family "Bacterial small subunit ribosomal RNA", at positions 30 to 507 of the family's 1533-position model. The record is from RNAcentral.
AUUGAACGCUGGCGGCAGGCCUAACACAUGCAAGUCGAGCGGAUGAAGGGAGCUUGCUCCUGGAUUCAGCGGCGGACGGGUGAGUAAUGCCUAGGAAUCCGCCUGGUAGUGGGGGAUAACGUCAGGAAACGGGCGCUAAUACCGCAUACGUCCUGAGGGAGAAAGUGGGGGAUCUUCGGACCUCACGCUAUCAGAUGAGCCUAGGUCGGAUUAGCUAGUUGGUGGGGUAAAGGCCUACCAAGGCGACGAUCCGUAACUGGUCUGAGAGGAUGAUCAGUCACACUGGAACUGAGACACGGUCCAGACUCCUACGGGAGGCAGCAGUGGGGAAUCUUGGACAAUGGGCGAAAGCCUGAUGCAGCCAUGCCGCGUGUGUGAAGAAGGUCUUCGGAUUGUAAAGCACUUUAAGUUGGGAGGAAGGGCAGUAAGUUAAUCCCUUGCUGUUUUGACGUUACCAACAGAAUAAGCACCGGCUAACUUCGUG